GUGACAUUGUUCAACGGCCGCGGUAUCCUAACCGUGCGAAGGUAGCGUAAUCACUUGUUCUUUAAAUGAGGACUAGUAUGAACGGCUUCACGAAAGCUAUACUGUCUCCUUUAUCCAAUCAGUAAAACUAAUCUCCCCGUGAAGAAGCGGGGAUCUGUCUAUAAGACGAGAAGACCCUAUGGAGCUUUAAACAUCUUAAAACACUUGAGUACAUCAUUAAACUUCCGCAAACUUCAUUAAGCCCCUCAUUCUGCUUUAAGUUUUAGGUUGGGGCGACCACGGAGAACAACCCACCCUCCAUGUAGAAAGAACCUUUCUUCUAAGCGAAAAGCUACAUCUUUAUGCAUCAAUACAUUGACCUAAAUUGACCCA
This 372-nucleotide ribosomal RNA is filed under the name Allobates granti. RNAcentral describes it as "partial 16S ribosomal RNA". It matches the Rfam family "Bacterial large subunit ribosomal RNA", at positions 1914 to 2422 of the family's 2925-position model. Lineage: Eukaryota; Metazoa; Chordata; Amphibia; Anura; Aromobatidae. The record is from RNAcentral.